CCUACGGGGGGCUGCAGUGGGGAAUUUUGCACAAUGGGCGAAAGCCUGAUGCAGCAACGCCGCGUGUGUGAUGAAGGUCUUCGGAUCGUAAAGCACUUUCGACCGGGACGAACAACCUCUGGCUAACAGUCAGGGGCCUGACGGUACCGGGAGAAGAAGCACCGGCUAACUCUGUGCCAGCAGCCGCGGUAAUACAGAGGGUGCAAGCGUUGUUCGGAAUUGCUGGUCGUAAGGCGCGUGUGUGCGGUGUGAAAGCCCUCAGCUCAACUGAGAAAGGGCGCCCGAAACUGGCGAGCUUGAGUGUCGGAGAGGAUGGCGGAAUACCCCAAGUAGAGGUGAAAUUCGUAGAUAUGGGGUGGAACACCGGUGGCGAAGGCGGCCAUCUGGACGACAACUGACGCUGAGACGCGAAAGCGUGGGGAGCAAACAGGAUUAGAUACCCUGGUAGUC
This 450-nucleotide ribosomal RNA is filed under the name uncultured bacterium. Its description in RNAcentral is "partial 16S ribosomal RNA". It matches the Rfam family "Bacterial small subunit ribosomal RNA", at positions 338 to 795 of the family's 1533-position model. The record is from RNAcentral.